AGGACGAACGCUGGCGGCGUGCUUAACACAUGCAAGUCGAGCGGUAAGGCACUUCGGUGUACACGAGCGGCGAACGGGUGAGUAACACGUGAGUAAUCUGCCCUUCACUCUGGGAUAAGCACUCGAAAGGGUGUCUAAUACCGGAUACGACGGACCACCGCAUGGUGUGUUUGUGGAAACUUUUAUGGGUGGGGGAUGUGCUCGCGGCCUAUCAGCUUGUUGGUGAGGUAAUGGCUCACCAAGGCUUCGACGGGUAGCCGGCCUGAGAGGGCGAUCGGCCACACUGGGACUGAGACACGGCCCAGACUCCUACGGGAGGCAGCAGUGGGGAAUAUUGGACAAUGGGCGGAAGCCUGAUCCAGCAACGCCGCGUGAGGGAUGACUGCCUUCGGGUUGUAAACCUCUUUCAUCAUUGACGAAGCUUCAACGUUGUUGGGGUGACGGUA
RNAcentral lists this ribosomal RNA (446 nucleotides) under Nocardioides sp. Its description in RNAcentral is "bacterial SSU rRNA". It matches the Rfam family "Bacterial small subunit ribosomal RNA", at positions 26 to 477 of the family's 1533-position model. The record is from RNAcentral. Lineage: Bacteria; Bacillati; Actinomycetota; Actinomycetes; Propionibacteriales; Nocardioidaceae.